RNAcentral lists this long non-coding RNA (467 nucleotides) under Prunus persica (peach). RNAcentral describes it as "long non-coding RNA (PPER_LNC003764)". The record is from RNAcentral. Lineage: Eukaryota; Viridiplantae; Streptophyta; Magnoliopsida; Rosales; Rosaceae.
UAUUUUUUUUAAAUUAAAAAGUAAUAUUUGGCAAAGGGGAAUUGAAUAAGGACCUCAGGUGCAAGAUGUUACUCUAAAUCACUCAAGCUAAAAGUCAUUUACAAGAAUGGCUGUGAUUGUGAUUGAGCCUGGUAUGCUUCUGUAAAAGCUUCACUCCGCAUCACGCCAACCUGAUGCAAACAGAUUUCUUAGAAACCUUAGAUACUCAUCUUUUUAUAUUGGUGAUAUGUAAAGCCAAAAUGGUAAAUAUCUUACCCUUGUCCUGUUAUCACAAACCAAACUAGAAUCCUAGGUUGAUUGGCAUUAAGCGCUGCCCGGUGUUCAAAUUGGUUUUUUUUUCUUGUUUUUUUUGGGUAGCAUGCCUUCAGAUAGGAUCUUGCAAAUGAAUCUGUUCUAAGGUGAGCACAAUGUUGCCUUCAGAUUGGACCUUGCAACUGAAUUUACUCACAUGUUGACCAACCUUCUGG